CUGCCUACCGGAUGUUAUAUUGAGGGGCCGCAKUAUAUUGACUGUGCAAAGGUAGCAUAAUCAUUAGUCUUUUGAUUGAAGGCUGGAAUGAAAGGUUUGACGAGAUAAUGACUGUCUUAUAUAUUAAAAUUUAAUUUCAUUUUUAAGUAAAAAAGCUUAAAKUAUAAUAAGGGACGAUAAGACCCUAUAGAACUUUAUAUGAGUUAUUUGAAUCAAAUAAUUAGUAUUUUACUGGGGCGGUUAGGAAAGAAGAAUAAACUUUUCUUGAUUUUAACAUUUUAUUUGGUAAAAGGAUCUUUUUAUUAAGGAUUAAAAAAUAAGUUACCUUAGGGAUAACAGCUUAAUUUUCUUUUAGAGUUCUGAUCGACAAGGAAUAUUGAGACCUCGAUGUUGGAUUAGGAUAACUAUAGGGCGCAGUAGUUUUACUAGUAAGUCUGUUC
RNAcentral lists this ribosomal RNA (440 nucleotides) under Gryllotalpa sp. Moz. RNAcentral describes it as "partial 16S ribosomal RNA". It matches the Rfam family "Bacterial large subunit ribosomal RNA", at positions 1859 to 2582 of the family's 2925-position model. The record is from RNAcentral. Lineage: Eukaryota; Metazoa; Arthropoda; Insecta; Orthoptera; Gryllotalpidae.